RNAcentral lists this ribosomal RNA (253 nucleotides) under uncultured bacterium. RNAcentral describes it as "partial 16S ribosomal RNA". It matches the Rfam family "Bacterial small subunit ribosomal RNA", at positions 524 to 776 of the family's 1533-position model. The record is from RNAcentral.
UACGGAGGGUGCAAGCGUUAUCCGGAUUUACUGGGUUUAAAGGGUGCGUAGGUGGGCAGUUAAGUCAGUGGUGAAAUCUCCGAGCUUAACUCGGAAACUGCCAUUGAUACUAUCUGUCUUGAAUAUCCUGGAGGUGAGCGGAAUAUGUCAUGUAGCGGUGAAAUGCUUAGAUAUGACAUAGAACACCAAUUGCGAAGGCAGCUCACUACGGGAUUAUUGACACUGAGGCACGAAAGCGUGGGGAGCAAACAGG